This is a long non-coding RNA of Dendronephthya gigantea, 659 nucleotides long. RefSeq lists it as uncharacterized. The transcript has 4 exons. NCBI's taxonomy places the organism in Eukaryota, Metazoa, Cnidaria, Anthozoa, Malacalcyonacea, Nephtheidae. The record is from RefSeq and is a predicted model, not a curated record.
AAUUGAACAAAAUCUUGUAUUGAAAUCAUUUACUACAUCAGAAUACGUGAUGAAAAGAUUGCCUCGGAUAGUUCUGUUGAUUUUAAAAUCAAGACAAACUGAGUCAACUAAUCAAGAAAAAGAAAACCUCAUGAUGUGGGUUGAAUUGCCAGGGACACCUAUGCUAAGACUUCAGGUCUUUAUACAGCUCAGUGGCCGGGUCUUUCUUGGCGAAAUAUUUGCAAAGUACACACGAAGCCCUCGCUUGCUCCGUAAAAAGUUCUCUUUCUCGGUACUUUUCAUUCGAAAAUUGUAAACUUAGUAGAGGACUUGCGAUUUUGGAUGCGAAAAGCUGGAUUUGGCGACUAGUGCGAGCUAUUUUAAGAAGCAGUAGAAGGAGUCCACAAUGCCCGGUAGAGGGUAGAAGAAGCAAUGCCAAUGGGAAACUCAAACACAAAUUUCAAUACAAGAAAGCCCUAACCAGGCCCUAACCUAGCGAAACGAUGUUGAAAACAACCCCAAAAUAACUGUUCAAUUCUCAAUGGACGAAGCAACUUACCAUGAUGCAGUAAAUCUAGAUUGAAGACUCGUUUCGUGCAAUUGGCACAACAGGAAACCUCCGAAAAUUUUACUACGAGGAAAAUUGUAAAAGAAGAAACGUGGAUCAGUAUUGCUUAUAC